This 226-nucleotide ribosomal RNA is filed under the name uncultured bacterium. RNAcentral describes it as "partial 16S ribosomal RNA". It matches the Rfam family "Bacterial small subunit ribosomal RNA", at positions 113 to 334 of the family's 1533-position model. The record is from RNAcentral.
CGACGUAGGUAACCUGCCUGGUAGCGGGGGAUAACUAUUGGAAACGAUAGCUAAUACCGCAUGACAACAGUUAUUGCAUGAUAGCUGUUUAAAAGGGGCAAUUGCUCCACUACCAGAUGGACCUGCGUUGUAUUAGCUAGUUGGUGAGGUAACGGCUCACCAAGGCGACGAUACAUAGCCGACCUGAGAGGGUGAUCGGCCACACUGGGACUGAGACACGGCCCAG